This 253-nucleotide ribosomal RNA is filed under the name uncultured bacterium. RNAcentral describes it as "partial 16S ribosomal RNA". It matches the Rfam family "Bacterial small subunit ribosomal RNA", at positions 524 to 776 of the family's 1533-position model. The record is from RNAcentral.
GACGUAGGAGGCGAGCGUUGUCCGGAUUCAUUGGGCGUAAAGAGCGCGCAGGCGGCUUGGUAAGUCGGAUGUGAAAACCCGAGGCUCAACCUCGGGCGUGCAUCCGAUACUGCUCGGCUAGAGGUAGGUAGGGGAGAUCGGAAUUCCUGGUGUAGCGGUGAAAUGCGUAGAUAUCGGGAGGAACACCUGUGGCGAAGGCGGCCCCCUGGUUGGAUACUGACGCUGAUACGCGAAAGCGUGGGGAGCAAACAGG